This is a non-coding RNA of Rattus norvegicus (Norway rat), 20046 nucleotides long. Lineage: Eukaryota; Metazoa; Chordata; Mammalia; Rodentia; Muridae. The record is from RefSeq and is a predicted model, not a curated record.
CUAGAGAAAGAGCUUGUGAGGCCUCACCCCUCCUGAGUAUAUGCACAGUUAAAAGCUUCUGAGACAAGAGAUCUUCCUCAAUGAUUUAACUACAUAACUUGAGAACACUGAAUAUUGAGUGACUCCACAAUAUUGAGUUAUACAACUCCAGCCCAUCUACGUUUUAAAUCAGAAAUGUUGUUGAUGGCCAUGAUCCAUGUAGUACCAUGACACCUUGUGGAUUUUGCUACAAGAGACCAUGUUUAAAAUAUUGGUCCAUCUUGCUGCUUAAGAUAAUGUUGAAGAAAGUGUUAUGUGCUGCUACAAUGGUCAAGUUUUAAGUCUAUGACCUGAUCUGCAAAUUGAAGCUAUUUUGAAAUAACUGAUGACUGUUCACAACCACCAACCAACCAUAUUGAUGUCUAUAGUUCCUGUUGCCAAUGAAGACCUUGUAAUACCCAUGAUCCCUGUUGCCAACUGAGACCCUGUUGAAUUCCAUGGUCAAUACUGCCUCUUGAGACCAAGUUCAGAGAAGUAUUCUAUUUUUCAACCAAAAACCACUAUUAUGUGUGAAACUUAAACAGUUCAAUGGGGAGUUAUAUUGAUGUCACAGAACCCUGCUGCUACUGUAGAUAAAUAAUCAGUGGAAUCUUUACUGAUAAGUACUAUCCGUGAUUCAGCCCAAUUUAUGAGAAGUGUUCUGCCAUGAAUAACCAUUUUGAUGUCACACUGAAUCCUGACACUAGAGGUUUAUGUACAUGGUCAUAUCUUCUUUCUGAAACUAUCUUGAUGUCCUUGAUAUUCCCAUCAAUAGACACCAUGGUUUAUCUCAGAUCACUACUACCACUGGCAAACAGGCCAUGGGCAAACCCUAAUGCCACUUUGGACAGUUGAUGACAUCAGAGAUCCCAACUGCCAAGCAACAAAUAUUUACAUCAAUCAUCUAUGCUGUCACUGGAAACCAUGUUAAGAUCCAGAGUCAGUGUUGUCUUUGAAGAGCUUCAUGAUGUCUGAGAUCCCUCAACCAGAAGAAUUUAUUAUGAAGAUCAUUAUAUGUAAGGGAGCCUAAAGUAACAAUGAGAUAAGUGCUAUUUGCUGCUACUGAAGAUGCCUUUGAUACCAGUGAUCUUAUCAGCAACCUGAAGCUAUGUUGAUGUCAGUGCUGCAUGCUGUGACAUGCGAUCAUGAUGUUGUCCAUUAUUCCUAUUGCUGACUGAGACCCUGGUGAUGGCUAUGAUACGUGUUGAUUCUAGAGAAACUGCUGAAAUCCAAAGUCCAUACUGAUAUGUGAGGUCAUAUUGAGGUAAGUAUUCUUAGAUGGCACUGGAGAUCGGAUUGAUAUCUGAGAGCCUACCUAUCACAGGAAAUUUGGCUGAUGUUCCUGAUAUAUGCAUGUACCUCUGAUGUCAAACAUGCAAUGUUCUUUGAUGUAUGUGAUACUCCCUACAAGAAGAAGCUAUGUUGAUGUCAGUACUACGUAUUGUGACCAGCAAUCAUGCUUGAGUCCAUUAUUCCUAUGGCUGAUGGAGACCCUGGUGAUGGCUAUAAUUGGUGUUGCUUCUUGAGAAUCUAAUGAAUUCCAUAUUCCAUACUCACACUCACGAUCAUACUGAGGUAAGUAUUUUUAGCUGGCACUGAAGAUCAGACUGAUGUCUGAGAUCCUACUUGCCACAGGAAAUUCAGUUUAUGUUCCUGAAUCAUGCAUGUAGCCCCCGAUGUCGAACAUGCAAUAUUCUUUGACACCUGGGAUCCUACCUGCAAGAAGCUAUUCUGAUAUCAGUGCUGCAGCAGUGCCCAGGAAUCAUGCUGGAGUCCAUUAUUCCUACAGCUGGUGAUGGCUAUAAUUGGUGUUGCUUGCUGAGAAUCUAAUGAAUUCCAUGCUCCAUACUCAAACUCACAGUCAUGUUGAGGUAAGUAUUUUUACAUGGCACUGGAGAUCAGAUUGAUAUCUGAGAGCCUACCUGACACAGGAAAUUCAGUCGAUGUUCCUGAUCCAUGGAUGCAGCACUAGAUAAUGGCAAUGUAAUGAAGUUUAAUGUCUGUGAUCCUAUCUGUAAGAAGAAGCCAUUUUGGUGUCAGUGAUAUAUUCUGUGACCAGCAAUCAUGAAGGAGUGUAUUGUUCCAAUUGAUGAUGUGGACCGUGGUGAUGCCUAUUGUCUGUGCUGUUGCUUGAGACACUGAGGAAUUCAAAAGUCCAUACUAAUGCCCAAACUCAUUUUGAGGCCUCUAACAGCCAUGAUAUCAGUGAUCCCAGCAUCCUCAUAGGAACAAAAUAAUGUGAGUGCCUCCAACUGCCAAUGGAAUUAUUACUGAUGUAUGUUAUCCAUGCUUCUGCGAAUUUGUGAGAGGUUUACUACCAUCUGAAACUAUAUCGAUAUCAAAAGAAUCCUGCCACCAGAGAAGAGACUUCUGUAGAUGGUUCCACAUGUCCUCUAAAAAAGUCUUGAGAGGCCCGAUGCAUUGGUAUAUCCUAGAUCUAUGAUGCCACAGGCAAACAGGUCAUCAGUAAUCUGACUGCUACUUUAGACUUGAUUAAUGACAUGUGUGAUCCCAACUGCCAAGCGAAGUGUAUCGACAUCAUUCAUCCAUGCUUGCCUUGGUAAACAAGGUUGAGAUCCAUAGUCACUAUUGUCUUUGGAGAGCUAUCUGAUGUCUGGGAUCCUUCAGCCAGAAGAAUCUAUUGUGAAGGUCAUGACCAGUAAUGCCACCUAAGUUCGUUAUGGGGUAAAGGAUGUGUGCUGCUACUGGAGAUGCCUUUGAGGCUUAUGAUCUUACGUGCAUCCUGAGGCUACAUUGAUGUUGGUGCUUCAUGCUGUAACCAGCAAUCAUGAUGGAAUUCAUUGUUCCCAUUGCUGAUGGAGCCUUUGGUGAUGGUUAUGAUCUUUCUUGUUGCUUGAGAAUCUGAUGAAUUCCAAAGUCCAUGUUGAUGCCAGUAGUCAUAUUGGGGUAAGUAGGUAAGUAUGCAAAGCUGUCAUUGGAGAUCACAAUGCUAUCUAAGAUCCUCCCUGCCACAAGAAAUUCUUUUGAUGUCCCUGAUGCAUGUAUGUAGAGCCUGCUGUCAUCCAUAUAAUGUAAAAGAUCUCCACUGCCACCAAAGGAGGUAGUGAUGUCAAGGAUCUAUACUGCCACUGAGGAAGAUAUUUAUGACCAUAAUUUAUUCUUCCCUGUGAAUUGAUGCCGAUGUCACUGACAUAUACCUGUCAAUAGAUACUGUUAUAUUCCCCAAGAUCCAUGUGCCAAUGGCAGCCCUGUCAGUGAUCCCAGAUACCACUGGGAACCAUGUUAAUACCACUAAUCCAAAGUGCCUAUAGAAACAAGGAUGAUAUGGUUCAUCCAUGCUGCUGACAGUGGCCAAGUUGAAAUCUACAGUCAGUGAUUCUUUUGAAAUCAUUGUUAUUAUCAGGCAUCCCUGGGAUCAGUAGAGUCUACCAGCAAGGCUAAUGAAGCUGCCUCAGUUCAGAUUGAGCUGCAUUUUCUGAGAUAAGUUAUAUUGAAGUCAUAUAGUGGAAAAACAUACUAUUGUAUGUCCAUGAGAAAUUAGAGUUGCAGGAGCCAUGAUAUCAGUGAUUUCCUGUUGCCUCUUAUGACCACCUUAAUUUGUCUCUGGCUGCCAAUAGAAUUUUUACUUCUGUAAGUAUUGCAUACUUCUGAACAAGUUAAGAGGAGUGUCCGGCAAUCCAUACACAUUUUGAUGUAAUGAUGUAUUCUUCCACUAGAGUAAAUGUUUCUGUACAUGGUCAUACCUGUACUGAAACUAUCUUGAUGUCCCUGAUCCUACCUGGCAACAUUCACCAGAAUAUAUCCUAGAUCCCUGUUGCUACAGGCAACCACUUGUGAGUGAUGUGGAUUGCCACUUUUGAAUAGAUUGAUGAUAUAUGUGAUCCCAAUUGCCAAGGAAAAUUGUACUCACCCAUGCUGCCACUGCUAACCACGUUGAAACCCAUAGUCUGUGUGGUCAUUGAAGAGCUCCAGGAUGUCUGUGAUCCUUCAUCCAGUAGAGUCUAUUGUGAAGUUGCUGGUCAGUACUGCUUCCUAAGGGCAUCAUGAGGUAAGUGCUGUGUACUGCUACUGGAGACCAUUUCAUGUGCAUGAUCCUACCUGGAACCGGAAGCUAUGCUGAUAUCAGUACUGAAUGCGGUGAGCAGCAAUCAUGAUGGAAUCAUGGUUCAUGUUGCUGAUGGAAUCCGAGAUGGUGGCUAUGAUCUGCACUGCUGCUUGAGAACACCUUAAGUUGAAGUGUCCAUAUGCACUCAAGGCCAUAUUGAGGCCUGCAGUAGUCAUGGAACUGAACACUGGUGCUUCUUGGGACCACAGUGAUAUGAGUGUUUUCAACUAUAGUUGGAAUCUAUUGUGAUGUCAUGGAUCAGAUCAUUGCUCAACCAUGUUGAGAUCCAUAGUUAGUUUUUGUCUUGGAAGAACUCGCUGAUGUCUAAGAUUCCUCAUUCCAGAGGGGUUGAUAGUGCUGUUCAUGAUUGAUAGUCAAGUGGAAGGUCUUAAUGAGGUAAAUGUUGUGUGCUGCUCCUGGAUACACCUGUGAUACCUGUGAUACUACCUACAACCUGAAGUUAUGUUGAUGGCAGUGCUACAUGAUAUGGCCAGCAAUCAUGAUAGAAUCCACUGCUCCUCUUCUUGAUGGAGACCAUGAGGCCAGAAGAACAUGUGGUGAUGUUGUGGGUCAAUACUGCUGCCUCAGGUCAUGUUAAAUGGCAUGUUUUGAGAUAUUAUAUGUUGAGUUCACAUAUAGUGUGGCAACACACUCUGUUGUAUGAUCAUGAUACUUCAAACAGCCAUGGCAGUCAUCCCUCCUGCCACUUGGGAUCAAAUUGGUAUGCAUGGCUCUAAAUGCCAACGGAAUCCUUACCGAUGUCUUUUAUAUAUGCUUCUGCCAAUUUUCUGAGAUGUGUUUUGCCAUCCAUAACCAUUUUGAUGUCACAUCAUGCUGCAUCGUGCCACUAGAGAAGAGAUUUCUGUAGAUGGUUCUACAUGUCCUCUAAAAAAGUCUUGAGAAGCCCGAUGCAUUGGUAUAUCCUAGAUCUAUGAUGCCACAGGCAACCAGGUCAUCAGUAAUCUGACUGCUACUUUAGACUUGAUUAAUGACAUGUGUGAUCCCAACUGCCAAGGGAAGUGUAUCGACAUCAUUCAUCCAUGCUUGCCUUGGUAAACAAGAUUGAGAUCCAUAGUCACUAUUGUCUUUGGAGAGCUAUCUGAUGUCUGGGAUCCUUCAGCCAGAAGAAUCUAUUGUGAAGGUCAUGACCAGUAAUGCCACCUAAGUUCGUAAUGAGGUAAAGGAUGUGUGCUGCUACUGGAGAUGCCUUUGAGGCUUAUGAUCUUACGUGCAUCCUGAGGCUACAUUGAUGUUGGUGCUUCAUGCUGUAACCUGCAAUCAUGAUGGAAUCCAUUGUUCCCAUUGCUGAUGGAGCCUUUGGUGAUGGUUAUGAUCUUUCUUGUUGCUUGAGAAUCUGAUGAAUUCCAAAGUCUAUGUUGAUGCCAGUAGUCAUAUUGAGAGUAAAUGUUUCUGUACAUGGUCAUACCUGUACUGAAACUAUCUUGAUGUCCCUGAUCCUACCUGGCAACAUUCACCAGAAUAUAUCCUAGAUCCCUGUUGCUACAGGCAACCACUUGUGAGUGAUGUGGAUUGCCACUUUUGAAUAGAUUGAUGAUAUAUGUGAUCCCAAUUGCCAAGGAAAAUUGUACUCACCCAUGCUGCCACUGCUAACCACGUUGAAACCCAUAGUCUGUGUGGUCAUUGAAGAGCUCCAGGAUGUCUGUGAUCCUUCAUCCAGUAGAGUCUAUUGUGAAGUUGCUGGUCAGUACUGCUUCCUAAGGGCAUCAUGAGGUAAGUGCUGUGUACUGCUACUGGAGACCAUUUCAUGUGCAUGAUCCUACCUGGAACCGGAAGCUAUGCUGAUAUCAGUACUGAAUGCGGUGAGCAGCAAUCAUGAUGGAAUCAUGGUUCAUGUUGCUGAUGGAAUCCGAGAUGGUGGCUAUGAUCUGCACUGCUGCUUGAGAACACCUUAAGUUGAAGUGUCCAUAUGCACUCAAGGCCAUAUUGAGGCCUGCAGUAGUCAUGGAACUGAACACUGGUGCUUCUUGGGACCACAGUGAUAUGAGUGUUUUCAACUAUAGUUGGAAUCUAUUGUGAUGUCAUGGAUCAGAUCAUUGCUCAACCAUGUUGAGAUCCAUAGUUAGUUUUUGUCUUGGAAGAACUCGCUGAUGUCUAAGAUUCCUCAUUCCAGAGGGGUUGAUAGUGCUGUUCAUGAUUGAUAGUCAAGUGGAAGGUCUUAAUGAGGUAAAUGUUGUGUGCUGCUCCUGGAUACACCUGUGAUACCUGUGAUACUACCUACAACCUGAAGUUAUGUUGAUGGCAGUGCUACAUGAUAUGGCCAGCAAUCAUGAUAGAAUCCACUGCUCCUCUUCUUGAUGGAGACCAUGAGGCCAGAAGAACAUGUGGUGAUGUUGUGGGUCAAUACUGCUGCCUCAGGUCAUGUUAAAUGGCAUGUUUUGAGAUAUUAUAUGUUGAGUUCACAUAUAGUGUGGCAACACACUCUGUUGUAUGAUCAUGAUACUUCAAACAGCCAUGGCAGUCAUCCCUCCUGCCACUUGGGAUCAAAUUGGUAUGCAUGGCUCUAAAUGCCAACGGAAUCCUUACCGAUGUCUUUUAUAUAUGCUUCUGCCAAUUUUCUGAGAUGUGUUUUGCCAUCCAUAACCAUUUUGAUGUCACAUCAUGCUGCAUCGUGCCACUAGAGAAGAGAUUUCUGUAGAUGGUUCUACAUGUCCUCUAAAAAAGUCUUGAGAAGCCCGAUGCAUUGGUAUAUCCUAGAUCUAUGAUGCCACAGGCAACCAGGUCAUCAGUAAUCUGACUGCUACUUUAGACUUGAUUAAUGACAUGUGUGAUCCCAACUGCCAAGGGAAGUGUAUCGACAUCAUUCAUCCAUGCUUGCCUUGGUAAACAAGAUUGAGAUCCAUAGUCACUAUUGUCUUUGGAGAGCUAUCUGAUGUCUGGGAUCCUUCAGCCAGAAGAAUCUAUUGUGAAGGUCAUGACCAGUAAUGCCACCUAAGUUCGUAAUGAGGUAAAGGAUGUGUGCUGCUACUGGAGAUGCCUUUGAGGCUUAUGAUCUUACGUGCAUCCUGAGGCUACAUUGAUGUUGGUGCUUCAUGCUGUAACCUGCAAUCAUGAUGGAAUCCAUUGUUCCCAUUGCUGAUGGAGCCUUUGGUGAUGGUUAUGAUCUUUCUUGUUGCUUGAGAAUCUGAUGAAUUCCAAAGUCUAUGUUGAUGCCAGUAGUCAUAUUGAGAGUAAAUGUUUCUGUACAUGGUCAUACCUGUACUGAAACUAUCUUGAUGUCCCUGAUCCUACCUGGCAACAUUCACCAGAAUAUAUCCUAGAUCCCUGUUGCUACAGGCAACCACUUGUGAGUGAUGUGGAUUGCCACUUUUGAAUAGAUUGAUGAUAUAUGUGAUCCCAAUUGCCAAGGAAAAUUGUACUCACCCAUGCUGCCACUGCUAACCACGUUGAAACCCAUAGUCUGUGUGGUCAUUGAAGAGCUCCAGGAUGUCUGUGAUCCUUCAUCCAGUAGAGUCUAUUGUGAAGUUGCUGGUCAGUACUGCUUCCUAAGGGCAUCAUGAGGUAAGUGCUGUGUACUGCUACUGGAGACCAUUUCAUGUGCAUGAUCCUACCUGGAACCGGAAGCUAUGCUGAUACCAGUACUGAAUGCGGUGAGCAGCAAUCAUGAUGGAAUCAUGGUUCAUGUUGCUGAUGGAAUCCGAGAUGGUGGCUAUGAUCUGCACUGCUGCUUGAGAACACCUUAAGUUGAAGUGUCCAUAUGCACUCAAGGCCAUAUUGAGGCCUGCAGUAGUCAUGGAACUGAACACUGGUGCUUCUUGGGACCACAGUGAUAUGUGUGUUUUCAACUAUAGUUGGAGUCUAUUGUGAUGUCAUGGAUCAGAUCAUUGCUCAACCAUGUUGAGAUCCAUAGUUAGUUUUUGUCUUGGAAGAACUCGCUGAUGUCUAAGAUUCCUCAUUCCAGAGGGGUUGAUAGUGCUGUUCAUGAUUGAUAGUCAAGUGGAAGGUCUUAAUGAGGUAAAUGUUGUGUGCUGCUCCUGGAUACACCUGUGAUACCUGUGAUACUACCUACAACCUGAAGUUAUGUUGAUGGCAGUGCUACAUGAUAUGGCCAGCAAUCAUGAUAGAAUCCGCUGCUCCUCUUCUUGAUGGAGACCAUGAGGCCAGAAGAACAUGUGGUGAUGUUGUGGGUCAAUACUGCUGCCUCAGGUCAUGUUAAAUGGCAUGUUUUGAGAUAUUAUAUGUUGAGUUCACAUAUAGUGUGGCAACACACUCUGUUGUAUGAUCAUGAUACUUCAAACAGCCAUGGCAGUCAUCCCUCCUGCCACUUGGGAUCAAAUUGGUAUGCAUGGCUCUAAAUGCCAACGGAAUCCUUACCGAUGUCUUUUAUAUAUGCUUCUGCCAAUUUUCUGAGAUGUGUUUUGCCAUCCAUAACCAUUUUGAUGUCACAUCAUGCUGCAUCGUGCCACUAGAGAAGAGGUUUCUGUAGAUGGUUCUACAUGUCCUCUAAAAAAGUCUUGAGAAGCCCGAUGCAUUGGUAUAUCCUAGAUCUAUGAUGCCACAGGCAACCAGGUCAUCAGUAAUCUGACUGCUACUUUAGACUUGAUUAAUGACACGUGUGAUCCCAACUGCCAAGGGAAGUGUAUCGACAUCAUUCAUCCAUGCUUGCCUUGGUAAACAAGGUUGAGAUCCAUAGUCACUAUUGUCUUUGGAGAGCUAUCUGAUGUCUGGGAUCCUUCAGCCAGAAGAAUCUAUUGUGAAGGUCAUGACCAGUAAUGCCACCUAAGUUCGUAAUGAGGUAAAGGAUGUGUGCUGCUACUGGAGAUGCCUUUGAGGCUUAUGAUCUUACGUGCAUCCUGAGGCUACAUUGAUGUUGGUGCUUCAUGCUGUAACCAGCAAUCAUGAUGAAAUCCUUUGUUCCCAUUGCUGAUGGAGCCUUUGGUGAUGGUUAUGAUCUUUCUUGUUGCUUGAGAAUCUGAUGAAUUCCAAAGUCCAUGUUGAUGCCAGUAGUCAUAUUGGGGUAAGUAGGUAAGUAUGCAAAGCUGUCAUUGGAGAUCACAAUGCUAUCUAAGAUCCUCCCUGCCACAAGAAAUUCUUUUGAUGUCCCUGAUGCAUGUAUGUAGAGCCUGCUGUCAUCCAUAUAAUGUAAAAGAUCUCCACUGCCACCAAAGGAGGUAGUGAUGUCAAGGAUCUAUACUGCCACUGAGGAAGAUAUUUAUGAACAUAAUUUAUUCUUCCCUGUGAAUUGAUGCCGAUGUCACUGACAUAUACCUGUCAAUAGAUACUGUUUUAUUCCCCAAGAUCCAUGUGCCAAUGGCAGCCCUGUCAGUGAUCCCAGAUACCACUGGGAACCAUGUUAAUACCACUAAUCCAAAGUGCCUAUAGAAACAAGGAUGAUAUGGUUCAUCCAUGCUGCUGACAGUGGCCAAGUUGAAAUCUACAGUCAGUGAUUCUUUUGAAAUCAUUGUUAUUAUCAGGCAUCCCUGGGAUCAGUAGAGUCUACCAGCAAGGCUAAUGAAGCUGCCUCAGUUCAGAUUGAGCUGCAUUUUCUGAGAUAAGUUAUAUUGAAGUCAUAUAGUGGAAAAACAUACUAUUGUAUGUCCAUGAGAAGUUAGAGUUGCAGGAGCCAGGAUAUCAGUGAUUUCCUGUUGCCUCUUAUGACCACCUUAAUUUGUCUCUGGCUGCCAAUAGAAUUUUUACUUCUGUAAGUAUUGCAUACUUCUGAACAAGUUAAGAGGAGUGUCCGGCAAUCCAUACACAUUUUGAUGUAAUGAUGUAUUCUUCCACUAGAGUAAAUGUUUCUGUACAUGGUCAUACCUGUACUGAAACUAUCUUGAUGUCCCUGAUCCUACCUGGCAACAUUCACCAGAAUAUAUCCUAGAUCCCUGUUGCUACAGGCAACCACUUGUGAGUGAUGUGGAUUGCCACUUUUGAGUAGAUUGAUGAUAUAUGUGAUCCCAAUUGCCAAGGAAAAUUGUACUCACCCAUGCUGCCACUGCUAACCACGUUGAAACCCAUAGUCUGUGUGGUCAUUGAAGAGCUCCAGGAUGUCUGUGAUCCUUCAUCCAGUAGAGUCUAUUGUGAAGUUGCUGGUCAGUACUGCUUCCUAAGGGCAUCAUGAGGUAAGUGCUGUGUACUGCUACUGGAGACCAUUUCAUGUGCAUGAUCCUACCUGGAACCGGAAGCUAUGCUGAUACCAGUACUGAAUGCGGUGAGCAGCAAUCAUGAUGGAAUCAUGGUUCAUGUUGCUGAUGGAAUCCGAGAUGGUGGCUAUGAUCUGCACUGCUGCUUGAGAACACCUUAAGUUGAAGUGUCCAUAUGCACUCAAGGCCAUAUUGAGGCCUGCAGUAGUCAUGGAACUGAACACUGGUGCUUCUUGGGACCACAGUGAUAUGUGUGUUUUCAACUAUAGUUGGAAUCUAUUGUGAUGUCAUGGAUCAGAUCAUUGCUCAACCAUGUUGAGAUCCAUAGUUAGUUUUUGUCUUGGAAGAACUCGCUGAUGUCUAAGAUUCCUCAUUCCAGAGGGGUUGAUAGUGCUGUUCAUGAUUGAUAGUCAAGUGGAAGGUCUUAAUGAGGUAAAUGUUGUGUGCUGCUCCUGGAUACACCUGUGAUACCUGUGAUACUACCUACAACCUGAAGUUAUGUUGAUGGCAGUGCUACAUGAUAUGGCCAGCAAUCAUGAUAGAAUCCACUGCUCCUCUUCUUGAUGGAGACCAUGAGGCCAGAAGAACAUGUGGUGAUGUUGUGGGUCAAUACUGCUGCCUCAGGUCAUGUUAAAUGGCAUGUUUUGAGAUAUUAUAUGUUGAGUUCACAUAUAGUGUGGCAACACACUCUGUUGUAUGAUCAUGAUACUUCAAACAGCCAUGGCAGUCAUCCCUCCUGCCUCUUGGGAUCAAAUUGGUAUGCAUGGCUCUAAAUGCCAACGGAAUCCUUACCGAUGUCUUUUAUAUAUGCUUCUGCCAAUUUUCUGAGAUGUGUUUUGCCAUCCAUAACCAUUUUGAUGUCACAUCAUGCUGCAUCGUGCCACUAGAGAAGAGGUUUCUGUAGAUGGUUCUACAUGUCCUCUAAAAAAGUCUUGAGAAGCCCGAUGCAUUGGUAUAUCCUAGAUCUAUGAUGCCACAGGCAACCAGGUCAUCAGUAAUCUGACUGCUACUUUAGACUUGAUUAAUGACAUGUGUGAUCCCAACUGCCAAGGGAAGUGUAUCGACAUCAUUCAUCCAUGCUUGCCUUGGUAAACAAGGUUGAGAUCCAUAGUCACUAUUGUCUUUGGAGAGCUAUCUGAUGUCUGGGAUCCUUCAGCCAGAAGAAUCUAUUGUGAAGGUCAUGACCAGUAAUGCCACCUAAGUUUUAAUGAGGUAAAGGAUGUGUGCUGCUACUGGAGAUGCCUUUGAGGCUUAUGAUCUUACGUGCAUCCUGAGGCUACAUUGAUGUUGGUGCUUCAUGCUGUAACCUGCAAUCAUGAUGGAAUCCAUUGUUCCCAUUGCUGAUGGAGCCUUUGGUGAUGGUUAUGAUCUUUCUUGUUGCUUGAGAAUCUGAUGAAUUCCAAAGUCCAUGUUGAUGCCAGUAGUCAUAUUGAGGUAAGUAGGUAAGUAUGCAAAGCUGUCAUUGGAGAUCACAAUGCUAUCUAAGAUCCUCCCUGCCACAAGAAAUUCUUUUGAUGUCCCUGAUGCAUGUAUGUAGAGCCUGCUGUCAUCCAUAUAAUGUAAAAGAUCUCCACUGCCACCAAAGGAGGUAGUGAUGUCAAGGAUCUAUACUGCCACUGAGGAAGAUAUUUAUGAACAUAAUUUAUUCUUCCCUGUGAAUUGAUGCCGAUGUCACUGACAUAUACCUGUCAAUAGAUACUGUUUUAUUCCCCAAGAUCCAUGUGCCAAUGGCAGCCCUGUCAGUGAUCCCAGAUACCACUGGGAACCAUGUUAAUACCACUAAUCCAAAGUGCCUAUAGAAACAAGGAUGAUAUGGUUCAUCCAUGCUGCUGACAGUGGCCAAGUUGAAAUCUACAGUCAGUGUUUCUUUUGAAAUCAUUGUUAUUAUCAGGCAUCCCUGGGAUCAGUAGAGUCUACCAGCAAGGCUAAUGAAGCUGCCUCAGUUCAGAUUGAGCUGCAUUUUCUGAGAUAAGUUAUAUUGAAGUCAUAUAGUGGAAAAACAUACUAUUGUAUGUCCAUGAGAAGUUAGAGUUGCAGGAGCCAUGAUAUCAGUGAUUUCCUGUUGCCUCUUAUGACCACCUUAAUUUGUCUCUGGCUGCCAAUAGAAUUUUUACUUCUGUAAGUAUUGCAUACUUCUGAACAAGUUAAGAGGAGUGUCCGGCAAUCCAUACACAUUUUGAUGUAAUGAUGUAUUCUUCCACUAGAGUAAAUGUUUCUGUACAUGGUCAUACCUGUACUGAAACUAUCUUGAUGUCCCUGAUCCUACCUGGCAACAUUCACCAGAAUAUAUCCUAGAUCCCUGUUGCUACAGGCAACCACUUGUGAGUGAUGUGGAUUGCCACUUUUGAGUAGAUUGAUGAUAUAUGUGAUCCCAAUUGCCAAGGAAAAUUGUACUCACCCAUGCUGCCACUGCUAACCACGUUGAAACCCAUAGUCUGUGUGGUCAUUGAAGAGCUCCAGGAUGUCUGUGAUCCUUCAUCCAGUAGAGUCUAUUGUGAAGUUGCUGGUCAGUACUGCUUCCUAAGGGCAUCAUGAGGUAAGUGCUGUGUACUGCUACUGGAGACCAUUUCAUGUGCAUGAUCCUACCUGGAACCGGAAGCUAUGCUGAUACCAGUACUGAAUGCGGUGAGCAGCAAUCAUGAUGGAAUCAUGGUUCAUGUUGCUGAUGGAAUCCGAGAUGGUGGCUAUGAUCUGCACUGCUGCUUGAGAACACCUUAAGUUGAAGUGUCCAUAUGCACUCAAGGCCAUAUUGAGGCCUGCAGUAGUCAUGGAACUGAACACUGGUGCUUCUUGGGACCACAGUGAUAUGUGUGUUUUCAACUAUAGUUGGAAUCUAUUGUGAUGUCAUGGAUCAGAUCAUUGCUCAACCAUGUUGAGAUCCAUAGUUAGUUUUUGUCUUGGAAGAACUCGCUGAUGUCUAAGAUUCCUCAUUCCAGAGGGGUUGAUAGUGCUGUUCAUGAUUGAUAGUCAAGUGGAAGGUCUUAAUGAGGUAAAUGUUGUGUGCUGCUCCUGGAUACACCUGUGAUACCUGUGAUACUACCUACAACCUGAAGUUAUGUUGAUGGCAGUGCUACAUGAUAUGGCCAGCAAUCAUGAUAGAAUCCACUGCUCCUCUUCUUGAUGGAGACCAUGAGGCCAGAAGAACAUGUGGUGAUGUUGUGGGUCAAUACUGCUGCCUCAGGUCAUGUUAAAUGGCAUGUUUUGAGAUAUUAUAUGUUGAGUUCACAUAUAGUGUGGCAACACACUCUGUUGUAAGAUCAUGAUACUUCAAACAGCCAUGGCAGUCAUCCCUCCUGCCUCUUGGGAUCAAAUUGGUAUGCAUGGCUCUAAAUGCCAACGGAAUCCUUACCGAUGUCUUUUAUAUAUGCUUCUGCCAAUUUUCUGAGAUGUGUUUUGCCAUCCAUAACCAUUUUGAUGUCACAUCAUGCUGCAUCGUGCCACUAGAGAAGAGGUUUCUGUAGAUGGUUCUACAUGUCCUCUAAAAAAGUCUUGAGAAGCCCGAUGCAUUGGUAUAUCCUAGAUCUAUGAUGCCACAGGCAACCAGGUCAUCAGUAAUCUGACUGCUACUUUAGACUUGAUUAAUGACAUGUGUGAUCCCAACUGCCAAGGGAAGUGUAUCGACAUCAUUCAUCCAUGCUUGCCUUGGUAAACAAGGUUGAGAUCCAUAGUCACUAUUGUCUUUGGAGAGCUAUCUGAUGUCUGGGAUCCUUCAGCCAGAAGAAUCUAUUGUGAAGGUCAUGACCAGUAAUGCCACCUAAGUUUUAAUGAGGUAAAGGAUGUGUGCUGCUACUGGAGAUGCCUUUGAGGCUUAUGAUCUUACGUGCAUCCUGAGGCUACAUUGAUGUUGGUGCUUCAUGCUGUAACCUGCAAUCAUGAUGGAAUCCAUUGUUCCCAUUGCUGAUGGAGCCUUUGGUGAUGGUUAUGAUCUUUCUUGUUGCUUGAGAAUCUGAUGAAUUCCAAAGUCCAUGUUGAUGCCAGUAGUCAUAUUGAGGUAAGUAGGUAAGUAUGCAAAGCUGUCAUUGGAGAUCACAAUGCUAUCUAAGAUCCUCCCUGCCACAAGAAAUUCUUUUGAUGUCCCUGAUGCAUGUAUGUAGAGCCUGCUGUCAUCCAUAUAAUGUAAAAGAUCUCCACUGCCACCAAAGGAGGUAGUGAUGUCAAGGAUCUAUACUGCCACUGAGGAAGAUAUUUAUGAACAUAAUUUAUUCUUCCCUGUGAAUUGAUGCCGAUGUCACUGACAUAUACCUGUCAAUAGAUACUGUUUUAUUCCCCAAGAUCCAUGUGCCAAUGGCAGCCCUGUCAGUGAUCCCAGAUACCACUGGGAACCAUGUUAAUACCACUAAUCCAAAGUGCCUAUAGAAACAAGGAUGAUAUGGUUCAUCCAUGCUGCUGACAGUGGCCAAGUUGAAAUCUACAGUCAGUGUUUCUUUUGAAAUCAUUGUUAUUAUCAGGCAUCCCUGGGAUCAGUAGAGUCUACCAGCAAGGCUAAUGAAGCUGCCUCAGUUCAGAUUGAGCUGCAUUUUCUGAGAUAAGUUAUAUUGAAGUCAUAUAGUGGAAAAACAUACUAUUGUAUGUCCAUGAGAAGUUAGAGUUGCAGGAGCCAUGAUAUCAGUGAUUUCCUGUUGCCUCUUAUGACCACCUUAAUUUGUCUCUGGCUGCCAAUAGAAUUUUUACUUCUGUAAGUAUUGCAUACUUCUGAACAAGUUAAGAGGAGUGUCCGGCAAUCCAUACACAUUUUGAUGUAAUGAUGUAUUCUUCCACUAGAGUAAAUGUUUCUGUACAUGGUCAUACCUGUACUGAAACUAUCUUGAUGUCCCUGAUCCUACCUGGCAACAUUCACCAGAAUAUAUCCUAGAUCCCUGUUGCUACAGGCAACCACUUGUGAGUGAUGUGGAUUGCCACUUUUGAGUAGAUUGAUGAUAUAUGUGAUCCCAAUUGCCAAGGAAAAUUGUACUCACCCAUGCUGCCACUGCUAACCACGUUGAAACCCAUAGUCUGUGUGGUCAUUGAAGAGCUCCAGGAUGUCUGUGAUCCUUCAUCCAGUAGAGUCUAUUGUGAAGUUGCUGGUCAGUACUGCUUCCUAAGGGCAUCAUGAGGUAAGUGCUGUGUACUGCUACUGGAGACCAUUUCAUGUGCAUGAUCCUACCUGGAACCGGAAGCUAUGCUGAUACCAGUACUGAAUGCGGUGAGCAGCAAUCAUGAUGGAAUCAUGGUUCAUGUUGCUGAUGGAAUCCGAGAUGGUGGCUAUGAUCUGCACUGCUGCUUGAGAACACCUUAAGUUGAAGUGUCCAUAUGCACUCAAGGCCAUAUUGAGGCCUGCAGUAGUCAUGGAACUGAACACUGGUACUUCUUGGGACCACAGUGAUAUGAGUGUUUUCAACUAUAGUUGGAAUCUAUUGUGAUGUCAUGGAUCAGAUCAUUGCUCAACCAUGUUGAGAUCCAUAGUUAGUUUUUGUCUCGGAAGAACUCGCUGAUGUCUAAGAUUCCUCAUUCCAGAGAGGUUGAUAGUGCUGUUCAUGAUUGAUAGUCAAGUGGAAGGUCUUAAUUAGGUAAAUGUUGUGUGCUGCUCCUGGAUACACCUGUGAUACCUGUGAUACUACCUACAACCUGAAGUUAUGUUGAUUGCAGUGCUACAUGAUAUGGCCAGCAAUCAUGAUAGAAUCCACUGCUCCUCUUCUUGAUGGAGACCAUGAGGCCAGAAGAACAUGUGGUGAUGUUGUGGGUCAAUACUGCUGCCUCAGGUCAUGUUAAAUGGCAUGUUUUGAGAUAUUAUAUGUUGAGUUCACAUAUAGUGUGGCAACACACUCUGUUGUAUGAUCAUGAUACUUCAAACAGCCAUGGCAGUCAUCCCUCCUGCCUCUUGGGAUCAAAUUGAUAUGCAUGGCUCUAAAUGCCAACGGAAUCCUUACCGAUGUCUUUUAUAUAUGCUUCUGCCAAUUUUCUGAGAUGUGUUUUGCCAUCCAUAGCCAUUUUGUUGUCUCAUCAUGUUGCAUCGUGCCACUAGAGAAGAAGUUUCUGUACAUGCUCGUUCCUGACCUCUGAAACUGUCUCAAUUUCCUUUGUACCUCCUGGCAAUAGAAUCCAUGACAUAGAGAUCUCUGCUGCCAACAAAAAACAGUUUGGGAGUAAUCCCUACUCCCACUUUGAACCAGAUUGAUGAUAUCAAACAUCCCAACAACCAAGGGAAAUAUAUUGAUAUCACUUAUCCAUGCCCCCACUGGUAACCAUAUUGAGAUACCCAGUUUUGUCUUUGAAGAGCUCUAUGAGGUCUGUGAUCCCUUAGCUAGAAGAGCCUAUUAUGAAGUUCAUGGUUAGUAUUGCUGCGUAUUGUCAUCAUGAGGUAAGUGCUGUAUGCCGCUUCUGGAGUCAUGUUUGGUGCCUGUGAAGCUAUCUGCAACCCAAGGCUGUGUUGAUGGCAGUGCUGCAUUCUGUGAUAGAAAUCAUGAUGGAGUCCAUUGUUCCUAUUGCUGAUGGAGACCUUGGUGAUGGCUAUUAUCUGUCAUGCUGCUUGAGGACAUGCCAAAUUCUAAGGUCUGUACUGACACUUGGGGUCAUAUUGAGGUAAGUGUUCUGAGUUAGCAAUGGAGAUCAGACUAAUGUCUGAGAUCCUACCUGACACAGGAUAUUUGUUUGAUAACCCUGAUGUUUGCAUGUAGUCCCUGCUAUGGACCAUGUGUUCAUUGAUAGAUACACCAUGGGAAGAAACACCAUUGUAUUUCUACGUUUUUACGUGGCUCAGGCAGCCAUUUUGUCAGUCAUCCUUUCUCCUACUUGUCACCACAUUAAUCUGAUAUUUUCCAACUGCCAUUGGAAUCUAUACUGAUGUCGGUGAUGCGUGCUUUUGUCAUCUGUGAAAUAUUUGUUGACAGUUAUACUCUCAACCUAUAACAAAUGUGAUGUCAAUGAUCUAUCCUGACACUAUAGAUGUGCUUUGUGUUCACUGUUCUACCCUCUCUAUGAAACUAUUGUGAUGUUCCUAGUACUUCCUGGAAAUAAACACCAUGGUAUAUGCAAGAUCCCUGAUGCCAUAGGCAACUGGGAAUUUAAUGAUCCUUCCUGACACACUGGACCACAAUGUGAUAUCAAUCAUCCUAUCUGCUAAGAGAAAUAUGAUGAUGUCACUAAUCUACUGUGCCAUUUUAUAGCCCCAUUGAUAUCCAUAGUCAGUAUUGUCUCUAAAGAGCUUGGUAAUAUCUAUGUUCACUGUGUCCAGAAGUGUUAAUUGUAAAAUUCAUUGACAGUAUCCAUAGCUUCUAUUUCCUAAUAAAAUCCCGUUGGAGGUAGUGAUCGGUGCUGCUGCAUGUGAACAGGUUUAAUUCCUAAGUUCAUACUGAUAUGUAUGGUCACAUUAAAUUAAGUGUUCUUAGCUUGCACUAGGGAUCAUAUUGAUGUCUCUGAUUCUACAUGCCACAGGAACCUGUGCUGAUGUCUCUGAUAACAUGCAUGUUUUUUUCUUUUUGUAGACCUUUUUAUGAGUAAUAUCCUUGCUGAUGCCAGAAGAGCUAUUCGUGUCAUCGAUCGCUCCUGCCACUGGAGAAGAGGUUUAUGUCCAUAAUUACUUCUGCCCUCUGAAUAGACACUGAUGUCAGUGAUACAGCUGUCAACGGACACCAUACUAUAUCCAGGAUCCAUGAUGCCAAAAAUAAACAACAUAUUAGUAAUUUUUGCUGACAUAUUGGGCCAGGAUGAUGAUACUAUUGAUCCCAACCACCAACAAAAACAUAACGAUAUCACUCAUCCAUGCUGCUAACUGUAAAUAUGUUGAUACCCAUAGACAUUGCUGCCUCUGAAGACCUUGGUGAUAUCUGUCAUACUUGGUGCUUGAAGAGUCUGUUUUGAAAUUCUUGGUCAAUACUGCUGCAUAAGUCAUGUUGACCUAAGUGUUUUGUGAUGCAACCAGAGAUGGGUUUCAUGUCUGUGACCUGACUUGCAACCUGAAACAGUUUUGAUGUCAGUGUUUCUUGCUGUCAUCAGUAAUCAUGGUGGCAUUUGCUGUUCCUACUAAGAUACAACAAAACACAUGAAUGUAUGAAAUGCCUGCAAUGUAUGCAUCUAGGCCCUGCUGUUGACUAUAUUACAUAUAUGAUCCUUACUAUAACUAGAAGAACUAUUGAUGUCAAUGAUCCAUCCUGUCAAUGGAAAAGAUUUCUAUGUUAAUAUUCUCUCCUGACCUCUGAAUCUAUGCUGAUGUCAGUGAAACACAUAGAAACAGAUGCUAUGUUAUCACCCAACACCCAUGCUGACACAGGCAACCUUAACUUCAGUGAUUCCUGCUUCAACUGAGUACCACGUUAAUAUCACUAAUCCAAAGCACCUCCAGAAAAUAUGUUGAUGUCCAUCAUCCGUGGUGACACUAGUAACUAUGUGGAAUGCUAUAGUCCAUGUAGCUUCUGAAGAGAUUGUUAAUGUCUAGGAAACCUGUGACUACCAGAGUCUAGGGUGAAGUCCAUAGUCAAUCCUGCUAACUAAGGUUAUGUUGGGUUAACGUUUCUAUGAUAUGAAGAAGUCAGUGAUACACUGUGGCAAGAGACAUCAUUUUAUGUUCAUGAACAGUGAUGCCACUAGCAGCCAUAAUGUCAGUGACUGCUGAUGAAACAUGGGGCCACAUUGAGUGAUGACAACUUACAUCAGAAUCUAUACUGAAGUCAGUGAUCUUUUUUUCUGCCAUCUAAGACCAUGCUAUGUAUGAAAUAUGUGCUGUGUGCUGUAUCCUUUUUGAUGUCAAGAAUCCAUUCUGCUAUUACAGAAGUUUCUGUACAUUGUCUGACUUUUCCUCUCUACAGGUCUAACCUAUGUUGAUGUCACUGAUACCUCCUAGGAGCAAGCACCAUGGUAUAUUCUAGAUCACUGUUCCCUCUGUCUCACAAGCAACCAUGAUGGUGCCCAUUGUUCUUAUUGAGAUCCUGCCUGCCACAGAAAAGUGUGGUGAUAUCCGUGAUAUGUGAAUGUAGACCCUGCUAUACACCAUGUCAUGUAUAAAAUCCUACUACUAUAACCCAAAAGAUGCCCCAACAUAUAAAAAAGACACGUGCUCCACUAUGUUCAUAGCAGCCAUAUUUAUAAUAGCCAGAAGCUGGAAAGAACGCAGAUGCCCUUCAACAGAGGACUGGAUACAGAAAAUGUGGUACAUCUACACAAUGGAAUAUUACUCAGCUAUCAAAAAUAAUGACUUUAUGAAAUUCGUAGGCAAAUGGCUGGAACUGGAAAAUAUCAUCCUGAGUGAGGUAACCCAAUCACAGAAAAACACACAUGGUAUGCACUCACUGAUAAGUGGCUAUUAGCCCAAAUGCUUGAAUUACCCUAGAUGCCUAAACAAAUGAAACUCAAGACGGAUGAUCAAAAUGUGAAUGCUUCACUCCUUCUUUAAAAGGGGAACAAGAAUACCCUUGGCAGGGAAUAAAGAGGCAAAGAUUAAAACAGACACAGAAGGAACACCCAUUCAGAGCCUGCCUCACAUGUGGCCCAUACAUAUACAGCCAUCCAAUUAGACAAGAUGGAUGAAGCAAAGAAGUGCAGACCGACAGGAGCCAGAUGUAGAUCGCUCCUGAGAGACACAGCCAGAAUACAGCAAAUACAGAGGCGAAUGCCAGCAGCAAACCACUGAACUGAGAACGGGACCCCGUUGAAGGAAUCAGAGAAAGAACUGGAAGAGCUUGAAGGAGCUCGAGACCCCUUAUGAACAACAAUGCCAAGCAACCAGAGCUUCCAGGGACUAAGCCACUACCUAAAGACUGUACAUGGACUGACCGUGGACUCUGACCUCAUAGGUAGCAAUGAAUAUCCUAGUAAAAGCACCAGUGGAAGGGGAAGCCCUGGGUCCUGCUAAGACUGAACCCCCAGUGAACUAGACUAUGGGGGGGAGGGCGG